RNAcentral lists this transfer RNA (74 nucleotides) under Prochlorococcus sp. SP3034. RNAcentral describes it as "tRNA-Arg". It matches the Rfam family "tRNA". Rfam says of the family: Transfer RNA (tRNA) molecules are approximately 80 nucleotides in length. Their secondary structure includes four short double-helical elements and three loops (D, anti-codon, and T loops). Lineage: Bacteria; Bacillati; Cyanobacteriota; Cyanophyceae; Synechococcales; Prochlorococcaceae. The record is from RNAcentral.
GCGCCUGUAGCUCAGUGGAUUAGAGCAUCUGACUACGGAUCAGAGUGUCGGGAGUUCGAAUCUCUCCAGGCGCG